AGAGUUUGAUCAUGGCUCAGAGCGAACGCUGGCGGCAGGCCUAAUACAUGCAAGUCGAACGGUCUCUUCGGAGGCAGUGGCGACGGGUGAGUAACGCGUGGGAACGUGCCCUUUGGUACGGAACAACUGAGGGAAACUUCAGCUAAUACCGUAUGUGCCCUUCGGGGGAAAGAUUUAUCGCCAUUGGAGCGGCCCGCGUUGGAUUAGCUAGUUGGUGGGGUAAUGGCCCACCAAGGCGACGAUCCAUAGCUGGUCUGAGAGGAUGAUCAGCCACACUGGGACUGAGACACGGCCCAGACUCCUACGGGAGGCAGCAGUAGGGAAUCUUGCGCAAUGGGCGAAAGCCUGACGCAGCCAUGCCGCGUGAAUGAUGAAGGUCUUAGGAUUGUAAAAUUCUUUCACCGGGGACGAUAAUGACGGUACCCGGAGAAGAAGCCCCGGCUAACUUCGUG
RNAcentral lists this ribosomal RNA (452 nucleotides) under uncultured bacterium. RNAcentral describes it as "bacterial SSU rRNA". It matches the Rfam family "Bacterial small subunit ribosomal RNA", at positions 8 to 507 of the family's 1533-position model. The record is from RNAcentral.